UACGUAGGGUGCAAGCGUUAAUCGGAAUUACUGGGCGUAAAGCGUGCGCAGGCGGUUCUAUAAGACAGAUGUGAAAUCCCCGGGCUCAACCUGGGAACUGCAUUUGUGACUGUAGAGCUGGAGUACGGUAGAGGGGGAUGGAAUUCCGCGUGUAGCAGUGAAAUGCGUAGAUAUGCGGAGGAACACCGAUGGCGAAGGCAAUCCCCUGGACCUGUACUGACGCUCAGGCACGAAAGCGUGGGGAGCAAACAGG
This 253-nucleotide ribosomal RNA is filed under the name uncultured bacterium. RNAcentral's name for it is "partial 16S ribosomal RNA". It matches the Rfam family "Bacterial small subunit ribosomal RNA", at positions 524 to 776 of the family's 1533-position model. The record is from RNAcentral.